Molecule: non-coding RNA, 59 nt
Filed under: Salmo salar (Atlantic salmon)
Lineage: Eukaryota; Metazoa; Chordata; Actinopteri; Salmoniformes; Salmonidae
Also listed under: 1 other name
Gene: ssa-mir-449a
Source: miRBase by way of RNAcentral
AGGCAGUGUAACGUUAGCUGACUGUUUUCUCAUUUGUCAGCUCACGCUACAGUUGCUCC